AUUAAAACCAAAGAAAUAUAUGCUUUGAAAUAGUCGAACAAAACUGUUUGUUAAAUUUGAAGAAAUCCUUCUCUCUGUGUAAUCAAUUGUAAAAAGGAAGGGCUUUCCAUUAACGUGCAGUUACAUUUUUAUUAAAUGUAUUAAACGACGAGUGCUUCAUGCUUUUUGUCACUUGUAUAAAUAUACUAUAGAAUAAUAUAGAAAUAGUUAUGUUGCAUUGGCAAUCUAGAUAUCUCAUUGACCCAUCAGCGAAUUUUCUAUUACAUUUGUUAAAUAAGAUGUGAAGAAUACGAUACAUGAUUGUGUCGUUACAAAGAGGAAAAUGCGCCCUGUCAGUAUAAUUCCGCGUGACGAGCAAGUGAACUUGUAUUACAAGAUAUACUCAUGCAUUUCAGAGCAAUUUAGAAGUCAAAAAAAUCGGACACAAAUACAUAACAGUUAAUGACAUUUCGUGUAUCGUCUUUUCUGCCCGGAGAUCGCUGAUGUAGGACGCGAAUCAAAUCCUUCUGUCACCCGCCGUAUCUUGAUAGAAGAGCAGAGAAGAACGUACGACCUAGGAGUGGAGAUACUGAGAAAUGACGAAGCUAAGUACCUAGGAGUGAUAUAAAGGUUUAGAUGGCGAGUAACACAAUGGCACUAUCGGUUCAUUUAUCAGCCUUUCGCGACGACAGCGACGGCGACGGCGACGACGACGACGACGACGACGACGCCUAAGAGGGAGAGGAAGAAAGAGAAAAUGCGAGCUAUGUCGGAUACGUCGACGUCGACGACGACAAGGUAUUGUGUGGGGGACAAGGAGUUCCAUCAUCUGCAUUAUGAGUUUUAAUCAAAUCGUUUCCCUUUGAACCCCUGGUAAUGAACAGUGGAACUGUCGCUUUGCGCAGAGAACACGACCUGAUCUAAGAUCAACAAAUAUUUGCGGGGGAAAAUUACAUUGCGUACAUUUUCGAAAAUCCUACAUCGUAUCUGAUAAACUCGAACAACGUAUUACUCAGGAUUCAGACAUUACGUAUGAAUUAGAAUGUCUCAUUAAAUUACUAUCGUCUAUUUUGCCUGACAGCCAACGAAAGUAAGCUACAUUUGACAGAUUCGGACAUGAAUACUUGAUUCCGUGGAACUCUUCUAGUCGCCAUCUUGCUCCCGGCACAGCCUCUCUGAAGAAGGGAGUGCCGUGUCCUCGGUCGCGUGCAAUCGCCAAGCCAAGCGCGAGAGCAGGGCGAGAGCGGAAGGUGGUCAGCACACCUCCCCUCAUAGAGGGUGGGGACAACCAGGAGCACCGUCCUACUUUGCCGUGAGUGACCAACCAAACGAUCGUUUGUUCGCGGACAGGCCACGGAAGAGGGAGAGAAAGGAGAUCGCACAUUGAUCCGCGGGUGCAUCAGCAACUAAUUACGCAGAUUUAUGUCCCCAUUGUCCAUUGUCUCUCUACCGGGAGCGAUUCUCUCGUUGCCCCGGCGCGGACCAUUCGAUGGAAGCGACUGGCCGGCCGAUCCGGUUGGGACCAGCCGUAGGACGGCGAGAAGGUGCACGACUACGGAGAGAACGACGGGGCGACGAAAGGAGAUAAAAGGAGGACCUUUCAGAGGAUCGCUUGAAUCCAGGCGCGUAUCGAAGAGGGGAAUACAAGAAGGAACCGAGCGGGCGGACCACCGGCAGGCAGCCCCGCCCGCUAAGAGCAUGGUUCAUCUUCUACCCUUCCGGGGCCCCCCUUCGAGCCCUCGAUCGUAGAUCCAUGGAAUCUAAUAUUUGCGUGCCGCUACUUUUAUCCGUUCCUACACACUGUGGCUUGUCUCUUGUUCGACAAUUUGAAGAGAUAUUAUUUCGAAAUUUCAAUCGUGAUCGUCAGACCGCGUUCUAUCUUCGUCUUCAGCCAGAGACUUCAACGAGCGUUAUUCCGUUUCCGAAAGUAACAGGUAACUUUGAUAAACUUGAUUACCUUACACACACGCAACGAUUACAUUAAAAAAAAUCUUCAUAAAAAUCCAUUAGAUUAUUGAUUGAAUCAAUGUAACCAGCGCUUAAGUCUUUUAAAAAAAAUAAAAUAUAUUCAAACGAUGUUGUUUGUUGUAUUCCAGAGUCAUGAGACUUCGAUAAUUUAGUAGAGUACCAAGUCGUAAUGACAAGGGUCACCACGGGUUUCGCGACUCGAAAGUAUUCCAUCGGCGAUCGGGAUCGAUCGGAUGUCGACGUCGGGCUCAGUAGGAUGCAAAUGCUCGCACGAGCGCAGUUCGUGCGGGGCUAUUGGCAGGCUGCUAACAAGGACCGCACCGGGUUGCACACAUCCCGGACGCAACCCGCCGCGCCGGUAAGAUACGCCUCGGGAACGAGAAGCGUGGCGUACCGAGCUUAAAAGCGGCCGAGUCUUGACACUCGGCAAGAUGCUACCGACCGAUAUCCGGCUCCUCUUGUCCUUGACUCGACCAAACCGCUGCACGUUAGAAAAGAAGCGCAAGUGUAUUAGCGGUCUUGUGCUAUGCCGAGAGCGAGUCGCGUUAUCUACGAUGGCGAUGGUUCUGCACCAAUAGUCCGCCUACGACUCUUGGUCCAGAACAAUAAUUAGUCUUAUCGGCGAAGCAUCCGCUUUCAAGCCCGUUACAAUCUCUGCUUGAUUUUUCUCUCAUUCUCUCUCUUUCUCUCCCUCUCUUUUCCUCUAGCGUGCUCUCUCUUCUUUCUUUUACAAAUGUGUGUCGCUGUGCACUCCCCAUCUCUCCUCUCACCCCUUUGUCGUGUCUCUCCUCGCCUGCCCUCACAACGAACCUGCGCACGAGUUACCGAUAUAGAUAGCAGACACCUGCAUAUGUUGGCGUACAUGUGUUGGUGAUGUACUCAAGGGCUAACUAGUAUUGGUUAGCUAUCCUGCGCUAGUUGUAAGGACGAUCUAGUCGUAAGUCGAACAACUGAACUAGUCACGUUCGCUAUUCGCGUGGACGAUCGGCAGUUGCUAAUUGCUGAUAAAUCCCAAACUCUAUAUGCGAAACUUUCAACGUGCAUUGUAAAGAAAAUGGAACAACUAGGUCGUCCUUAGUUAAUUGCAUUAAUAUUGCAGUUUAAAAGAAAAAUAUCAAUCAUUUUUGGAUGCAUACAAAUAAUGUAAUGUCGCAUAUUAUAACAAGAAUUGAAAAAUACAUUAAGAAUUUCAAAGAUGACAGAUAAUAAAACUGUCUAGAUAAUGACAUAAUUCCAAAUUUUCUCAAAAAUACUGCCAUUACUCAAGCAUAAAAUUCUCUCGCGCGACGUUCACGCGCAAAUGUUUUUCAUUCGAUCGAGAUAUGCUGAUAUCACUGAUAAAAUUAUAUGCGAAAGUGUUAAUCUCGCAAAUGUUAAUUAGCUAUUACGCCACGGUCGUCAAUAGUAAAUUACGAGCUAUUAAUGGGAGAGAGCCUAUCGGUGUGGAUCAACGAAAGGAUCGACUUUAAUUUAACAGUUUAUGUGCGCGGUGCACAUGCGGAGUGUAACCUGCUAUCAUCCGGUGAGAGCGCGCGCACGCGAUAUAGUGCUGGAAUGAUCGCCAACAAGGUGAUAAAGUCCUCACGAUCGGUCUCUACGAUAAAUAAUCACUCGGUUGCGCGAUGUUUUCAACCCCGCCGUGGUAAAUUAUCGUCGCGCUCAGUUGUAGCCUCUUCAGCCUUGUUCCUUAUUCCACCGUAUGGAUAAUAUUGUUAUACGCGAGAUUGAUAAGUACGUUUCUCGGGAUCAGGUGUGUCAAGCGAUAACACACGUUAUAGCUUGAUCAUUUUUGUCGAAAUGCCGAAAAAUAUCGUAUCACAUAAGAUGAGCCGCGCGGCAAGUCGUACCUUAAUAAAUUACGGUGCAAGAAUAGUUCGGUGAAUGAUUACUAACCGUCGGAAAACGACAAUCGAAGCUACGGAGAUUUUCGUUUAUAGACUAUUGUCUGCGACUAGCUUUGGUUCAUGACGAGCGCCAGUCGAAUCAACGGAUACCAGUCGAAGUCGCGCAUAGGCAGGCGUCCUAUAGACGUCAGAUUUCGUAGCGCUCGGUCGAACGAAAUGAAAAGCGCGAACGGAGCUCCGCUAGAUUGCGGCGCGUAAUAUUCGCGGCAGCCCGUGCGAUUUUGUUACGAGGCGGCACGACAAUUUCGCAGCAGAAACACCGGCCCCGGAAAUUCAAGAUCUUCGAGCUCGGUAUUUCAAGGCGGGGGUAACUUGAAAGGGUAGCUGGAGGGCGGACGCGCGAGAAAGAGAGAGAGAGAGAGAGAGAGAGAAGAACGGGAAAGAUUUCGAGUACACGUAGAGAAGGCGACGGCAGCAGGGAAAAGCAAUCGGGCGACGCGGAUUCGGGGUUUUCACAGCCCUUGUCGAUCGCGCGAGAUUGAACGAGGCGUGUCCAAGUGCCGCGACUUCGGAAUAUCCGUGGAAAAUUGAAGGAGAGCACGCUCUAUGCGGAUUCCGUUUCCAAUGGACUUCCACAGCGUGGCAAUGCAUCCGUCUCGAUCGCUUUUUAAACUGUUAACCGAUGGUCUCUACGCAGCCAUUCCUGUACAAGUUUAAUGCGUAUGUGAUAGAUUGACUCAAAGUUUCACCCGAUUAAAAAAUACAUUUCCGGAUGAGCCUGAAGUAAAAUUCUGUAAGAGUGUCCGCGUAGAAUAAAAUUUCAUGGAGGAAAAUUCGCGUUUUUCGAAAUUGUAUUCAUUCCAAAAUGGAAUUCUAAAUGAAAUGUUCUCGUGUUACAAACUGUUUCUUAAAAUAAUUUUGGUAAUUUUAACAUCAUUGUUCUAUGCAUUAUUCGAAUCCUAAUCGCGCUUUUCUACUUGCGUUUCUAACGGACGCGGGUCAUCAAUGUCAUCAGCAAUUUCUUUCGAUAGGUCAUCUCAAGAAUUAUACAUAUAGAUGUAGGAUCUGACCAGGGAACAUCGUUUACGAUGACGCGAGUAAAAGUGGAGGAACGCAGCAAUGGUUCGUAGUGGAAGGGGAAAUUCGACAGACUGAUGGAGUGAGUGUUGACUUAGGAUAACAGUCGCCUCAUCAGUCAAUCAGUCAGGUAGACAACGGUAGGAAGGUACUCCGUCUUCGGUUGGAGCCUGUCGUCUUGUUCUGUUCACGUCGUCCUAAAGAACACCUAAGUGAGUCACGAAUCUGACCACCUGACAUUCAAGGGACUUAAGAUCGAGGGCUAAAAUGAAAAAAAAAAAAAGAAAAGAUAGUAGGACGAGUCUGAAGGCAUCGAAUGUUAAAGAAGUCUGUUUGUGGUCCCCAAUACCAAGUGCAUUGAUCUAAUUCCUCAGAUGUUUCUUAAUGCAUCUUCUCAAAGUGAUAUUGAAAACGAAUAAAUGUUGGUGGUUUAAUUUUGUAAAGGAUGUAAAUUUUUCCCUUUUAAAUUAAAAACUUAAUUUUUGUCAUUCAUAUAAUAUCAAAUAAUUUUAUCCCACUUUUGACGAUAUAUUUAAGUGUGCUGAGUUAAUAAAUUAAGAUUCAAAUAUAUAUAUAGUAUAAUAGUUUUCAAUUAUUUCAUGCAUAAAUAUUACACUAAGGAAGAUGAUACCAGCCGGUAUAUACCAGCUCAUAUAGUUCCAUUUCUAUUACAGUAACUAUUAUUCGUUUCAUUUGUACGACAUUUCAAGUAUAUGUUAUUCUAAGAAUAUCAUAUAAUCGUCUUUAUCCUCAAACUCUCGAAACAAGAGUGAUAUUCUUCUGGGUUUGGAGCGCGACCCUCCUGAUCGAUCUGAAAAAUCUGGAUCAUCACUCGAGGAAGUCGUAAAUCAACGUCUUGUAUCUCUCGAAUACGGAUUGAGUAUGAGGCUUUCAAAGUCGGUUGCUUCGAGAGAGAAGGAGGAAUCGCUGGCUGUACGUGAGGGGGGAGGGGGAAGAGGGAAAACGAAAGAGACACGGAAAGAAGGACAGAAGGCACGCGCGAGGGAGAAAGGAAGAGGUGCGGAGGAAGGAGAAAACGGAUUCACCCGUCAGUCACUCUCUGGCAGACCGCGAGAGAAUCACAAUGCGAGGCCUCCCUCUUCUCGCCGUCCCUCUUCGUCCUUCUGUCCGCCCGUCCGUUCGUCCGUCUGUCUGCCUGUCCAUCCGUUCGUCUCUUCGUCUGCCUCCUGUCACUCUCCCCGCCAGCCUUCCGACGGUUCUCGCAUCAGAAAUUCAUCUCCUCUCCUGUCCUCCUCCGGGUUCUCCUUUUGUUCCUUCCCUGCCGCCGCAGCCGCCGGCUUGUUAUUAUGUACUGUUUUAUUGCCAGGACGUUGCUAAAGUUCGACCCGGUUACUUGCCCUGGCGUGGCGUCAUUGCUGCCGCGAGGGAGUGAGUGAGUGAAAAAGAUAGGAAGAGAAAGAGAGAGAAAGAUCCGGGCCUCCUCGGGAUAUUCGCCGAGAUAACCGUGCGCGAGUAGUACUACUUAUCAAAGAUCCGUCUCGGAAGGCGUCCCGGCAACUUCGCUCGGCCGUCGUCCCGACGUGGAAGAGACGAGAAAUUAACUUCGUGCACCGUGAAGCCGGGCGGCUCUCGCGAAGAUCUUUUCUGAUGUGUACGCAGCUCUACAUUCUAACACGGUGGUUAUGUAAUUACUGGUAUCCACCGACGGCCUGUCUGACAAUGAGAAACAAAGUAAAGGCCGGUAGAUGGCUCAUGUACGUAGUAGCUCCCACACAGUUGAUUACGAAUGCCUAGUAUAUUGAAUCGAUGUAAAUAUAUAUAUGUAAAGUAUUUUUUGAAGAAUUUUUUCUGUGCGUUACACUUCAAAACGUAACAUCAAGAAGACCUUUUUAAAAAAAUGUAUGUCAAGUGCAUUAAUAAAUAUUUUAAGUUUAUAUACAUUAUUAAAUAAAAAAUCAAUUGUUUAAAAAUAGAUCUGAAAUCAACCGAUGAUUAGCAAGUAUAAUGAUUAAUAGGAGAAUGUUUACGUAACUCAUUCAUGAUUCGACUAAUGACUUGAAAAUGAUGUUUUUUAAUUGUGUUUUGGAGCAAAGAUGCGAUACGAUAUAUUGUAACGUUUCAAUUUUGCAUCAAUAUAAUUUUCUUUCUAAUUGCGACUUUAAUCGCGAAGAGUCGUAUCUGUAUACUAUAUUUACAUAAACAAUUCUCAGCUAUCUUACGUUACUUUUAAAGCUGCCGUUCCGUAUAUCAGAUUUCUUAUAAACAAUUAAACAGAUAUCUUGCGUUAUAAAUUUUCUUUCUUCUGGAUGAACGUUCGGCGUGCAUAAUUACAAGUAAACCUAACUGAUUUAGCGCGUUGAUUGCACGUAAAUCACUAAAGUACACAAGCUGACACUAACGCGGAUGCCUAUGAACGUUAAAAUUUACGCCUUACUCACAGCCGCAAUUUAUGAACAUGCACUAAAGGAUCCUUGUCUUAGCACCUUAUUUUUCGUUCUGCCAUUUGUAAGGCUUACCGCAUUUCAUCUCGGCGACUCGUUCCGCCUUCGUACGUCUAAGAGUGACAAAUCGUUUUCCGGAAGAAUGGCCUCAAAAGAAUACGUUCAAAAAUUGACGGAAAAUAAUCAGUUUCAUUCUCAAUUUUAAAAGACGUAUUAUAUUACAUCAUAUUACAUAAAAUUAUAUGAAAGGACUAAAUAUUUCUGGUUAAAUUAAAUCUAUAUAGAGUGAUAAAUUAAAGAUCGCUAUUUAUUACACGUUUUGUGUAUUUAACACUAAUUGCUAUAUAGAUUAAAUUAAUGUUUUUUUAAAUAUAAUACAAAUAAUAUUUAAAACAAGUACUAAUUUAUCUCAGAUUAUAAAACAACCAGCAGUUAUAAUCAAUUCUUCUAUCAUUACAAGGCUCCAUAAUUUACUCUUAACGAGAAAGCUAGCGAAUAUAUCACACAAUCAUUAAUUUACUUUAAUAUGCAAAUAAACUUGAUGUUAAGGAUUAUAUCGAUGAAAUCUAAUCUCCUACAUAAAUAGAUAAUUUGUUCUGAGCAAAUAUAUUAAUUUUAAUUCUACUCGGGGUUAAUUUUAUCUCCUAACGUUAUGGAAAAAUUAAUAUAAAUCAUACGAAUAAAGCCGUCUCAUCGCUACGCGCAAUUCACCCGAAAUUCCACAGACUAAAACCCAUUCCUUCAACACACGUUUUGCUCUCUCGGCGCGCGCUAAUCCAAUUUGCGCGUGCAUGAGACGAGGGUGAGCGGCUCGAUUCGUGUAUUAAUUCGUUCUGGCGUGGACGCGGAUUGUCCGCGCGCGAUUAGACGUCGCGCCAACGUCGCAGUAGCGCGUUAGAAACGUAGAUAUAUCCGCGGAGAUCCGGGAUGAUGAGUGAUCCGGCGAAGGGGAGGGGAUUCAAACGAGCGGCGGCGGGGUAUAACCGAGCAAAGACAUUUGGACUUGACGGUGAGUGAUGGACAGGGGGGGGUCCGGCGACGCAAGAGCUGUGUCUCGUGAAAAAAAGGUUGGCGUUUUGGCAAGGCGCGCCGCUCGCUGCUCGAACGCGUGUACGAGUUAUUAACGUUCAUAUUUUAGUGACAGUCUUUGCGUAGUGUGUAUCAUGCGCGUGCGUGGAGAAGACCCCCCUGACACACGGCGAAUAACCUGCUUGGCGAUGAGAGCCGGGCGAGAGCACAUGCGGCAAUAAAUCCUGACCUGCGCCACUAAUUUUCACGGAGAGCCGUUGCAUACAUCGUACCUACGCGAAGCGUGCCCGCACGAUACCUGCCAGAUAGGUGCAUCUGCAUCGUUACCGCUAGAACGCGGCCGGGGUCACCUGAUGUACCUGGACCGAGAUCGGCGCUGUUACCGAACCGGCCGAUCGUGUCCUUGUAACUUUUAUCGGAGCGGCUAUACGGAUGACGGCGUUUCGCGCGAAAUUUAUUGCCGUCGCCGACGAGACGGUUGUAUCUCGACCGUGAGACGCACGAGCGGCCUUUCCAAGUGCCUCCUCCUGAUGUAUUUCGUUGAUUAAAACGCGUUAAUUUUCUCUGCCGCGGAUUUUUACGACGGCGAGUCCCUCCGUGAAAUUAUUAACCAUUAAAUGCGUACGCGCCGGGAAGCCGCGUGUGAUCCGAAGGAGGCCUCAUAAAUUCCUCGGCGUUUCAUUUUAAUACCUAUUUCGCUUAUUAUUAUUCUAAAUAAGUCAGUCGCGUUCGACGCGUUCCUUAAAAGCCGUUCCUCAGAAGCGCGCCAAAUAAUUACAACAUCAGGCUGCGCGAGAAAGAGCAAAAUAAAAAGACAACGAGAGGAACACAUCGCGGCAAGAAUAAUAUCACGAGUUGUAAUUCGAUUCGGAGAAAGUUAAAAGCUGUUACUUUCAAAAACAUAUAUAUUCUUGCAAAAAUAAUUUCGCGCAGAUGUUGUUUUACUUGGCGAGGGAAUAAAGAAACUUACUUCAUUUCCAGAAUUAAGUAUGCCGCAAAUGUAUUGCGCAAUAACCACAGUGUCUUACGCGCGAUCAUUAUCGUUUAUUCUUGAAUUGGUGAGUUUCAAUUAAUGCACGGUCCGCAUCACGGAAAUUCCAUUAGGGACGCGAUUUAUCCUUAAUUGCCUGCGAACUUCCGACGACACGUAAAUAUUUCCUCGGUUAUAUCCUCCGCCGCCGCCGCUGUCCGAUUGCCACCGCGGACCAAAGACAACGAGAUAUUUUCGAGCGAAAAUCUAUCUAUAUACGGCGGACAUCCUUUUCAAAAGCGACUGCGGAGAGAAUCCCUUUACGAAGUUCGUCCGCGGAGAAUUUCUUCGUGAGCUGCAUUUACAAAGAGUCCAACUACGAGGUACAUUAGUCGAGAUUAUAUCCGGCAAAGGAAGUCGACCAACUUUCGAAGACACUGUUGCAACUAAAUCUCUUCGAAUCUGGCGACGUCCAAAGACGUCGAACUUCUGCGGAGUCAGCAACAAACACACCAAAUGCAACAUAGUUGACCGUAAAGCGAAAAGUAUGCACCGCCGAAUUCUUUAUUGCGAAUGAAAUAUGUCUUAUAGAUAUGUAUCUCUUAUAAAUAGAAUUUAAAAAAAAACUACGUCCCUCCUUACUAUCAUCUUUCCUUACUUGACGCCAAAAUUUCUUUUUAAAAAGUACAAAGAAAGGUGGCCUGCACGUGGACAAUGUGUAAUAUACUUGUAUUUCAUCACGCAAGCUCUCAACAUAAAUUUAUUACAGACGCGAAAUUUAUUUAUCAUACAAUGUCACAUUAUAAGUAAUUAAUUAGACGAGAUAGAGGAAUGACACGAGACAGAGAAUGUCUCGGUAAUGGAUUUAGAGCAAAAUAGGCGUUUGUUUUUGCUUCGCUAUUGCAUACUUCAAAUACAAGUAAUAAUAGUUGCCUAAAAUUUAUUAACAACCACAAGAGCAUAAUAUAUUUGAAACAACAUCAUUACUAACAUCACAAAUAUGAAAAUAUGCUACAUAUCAAAAAUAAAAUAAAUAUAAUAAAAUAUUUUAAUAAAUAAAACAAACUUUACUAAUAUUUUAACAGAAAGUUAAUAUAUAAUAAAUAAAAAAGCUAAGAAAAAUUAAAAUUAAAUUUAAUAACAUCACUAAAAUCCGAUGUAGACCGUGAGGUGAUUUUUAAAAAACUCAUUGAUAUGUUUAAUAUUUAAUAUUUAAUGUAAAAUAUUAGUUUUUCCUAUGAAGAUUUAAUUAAACUCGAAAGUACUUAACAUAUAUGAAUAUGCAGCGGCUGUAACCAGCUCACAAUAACACGCGGAUUUCCGGCAAGGUCUGCGAUCCGAGAAAUCGGAGCUGAUUACGCGUUUCAGACAGAUCAAGAAAAGUCGUUCGGUUAUCGCUUUGCGGUUCCAUUUCGAGGCGACAUUCAAGCGACGUAAUGAGUUACGGCACGGCGUCACGUUGGAUUUGCAAGUGAGACGAGUCAACCAGUUGCUCAGUUGGGAUUGUCUCUACCUUUGAGCGGUCGGUUACACAAUACCGCUUUCGAUUUAUCGUUCGAUUUAUUAGUUUCUCCUGUCUCGCUAAUUACUUUCCCAUCGUAGGAAUUCUGGCGCAGUAAAACCCAACGACUUUCGCGCAGCAUCGAAUCGCGUACGAAUUAAAACGAAUCUGCAAGUGAAAAGAGUCCAACCAGUUGCUCUGUGUGUGUGUGUGUGUGUGUGUGUGUGUGUGUGUGUGUGUGCGUGUGUGUGUGUGUGUUUGCCCAGUUCUUCAACUCCCAUAACUACUCGCAUUCGAGCUAAUUUUCCGAAUUUAAUUUGAUUUGUUAAUCGUUCGAUUCUGUUUGACUGGUCAAUUCUCAUAUCAUGACAUAAAUUGCCAAUGAAAGGUGUAAACCUACAUUUACGAUUACAAAAAUGAAUUACAAAAAUGUACGUGCAAAAAAAAACAAUAGAAAUUGAAUCGGUGAGUGUAAAAAAGGGACGAGUUAACGUCUAUGAAAUUUUUCAGCAUUGACAACAAAACAAUAUGAUUAUGACGUUAAUUAAAAGGUAUAUUCCAACGAUUUCAUUCGAAUUCCAAAAAAUAAAAUAUAAUUUGUCAAGACACUUUGAUUCGUAUAUUUCUUAUACUAGACAUGUUAAUCUAUAAUAGAUACAACCGCCACUUGCUACCUGUUUGCAUCUUAGAUAUAAUAAUUACUUAACUGUCUUGUAACACUCUAUAUAUGUAUGCAUAUUUAUGUAUAUCUGUAUUUGUAUAUGUACGUUAUGUGUAUUAUCGUUUCCUUCAUAAGUUUAUUAAGAUAUUGAUCUAUUAUAUUCCUAUUCUAUUUCUACUUUAUUUUUGUGAGAAAAUUAUAUCCAAAUAAAAUUUUUAUGACAUUUAA
Molecule: long non-coding RNA, 11659 nt
Organism: Monomorium pharaonis (pharaoh ant)
Lineage: Eukaryota; Metazoa; Arthropoda; Insecta; Hymenoptera; Formicidae
Exons: 2
Source: RefSeq, a predicted model, not a curated record